GACGAACGCUGGCGGCGUGCUUAACACAUGCAAGUCGAACGAUGAAGCACCAGCUUGCUGGUGUGGAUUAGUGGCGAACGGGUGAGUAACACGUGAGUAACCUGCCCCUCACUCUGGGAUAAGCCUGGGAAACUGGGUCUAAUACUGGAUACGACCGAUCUCCGCAUGGAGUGUUGGUGGAAAGUUUUUGUGGUGGGGGAUGGACUCGCGGCCUACCAGCUUGUUGGUGGGGUAGUGGCCUACCAAGGCGACGACGGGUAGCCGGCCUGAGAGGGCGACCGGCCACACUGGGACUGAGACACGGCCCAGACUCCUACGGAGGGCAGCAGUGGGGAAUAUUGCACAAUGGGCGAAAGCCUGAUGCAGCGACGCCGCGUGGGGGAUGACGGCCUUCGGGUUGUAAACCUCUUUCACCAGGGACGAAGCUAACGUGACGGUACCGGGAGAAGAAGCACCGGCUAACUACGU
This 468-nucleotide ribosomal RNA is filed under the name uncultured bacterium. RNAcentral describes it as "partial 16S ribosomal RNA". It matches the Rfam family "Bacterial small subunit ribosomal RNA", at positions 28 to 506 of the family's 1533-position model. The record is from RNAcentral.